This 293-nucleotide ribosomal RNA is filed under the name uncultured bacterium. RNAcentral describes it as "partial 16S ribosomal RNA". It matches the Rfam family "Bacterial small subunit ribosomal RNA", at positions 775 to 1067 of the family's 1533-position model. The record is from RNAcentral.
GGAUUAGAUACCCUGGUAGUCCACGCUGUAAACGAUGUCUACUUGGAGGUUGUUGUCUUGAAUGAUGGCUUUCGAAGCUAACGCGUUAAGUAGACCGCCUGGGGAGUACGGUCGCAAGAUUAAAACUCAAAUGAAUUGACGGGGGCCCGCACAAGCGGUGGAGCAUGUGGUUUAAUUCGAUGCAACGCGAAGAACCUUACCUACUCUUGACAUCCAGUGAAUCCUUUAGAGAUAGAGGAGUGCCUUCGGGAACACUGAGACAGGUGCUGCAUGGCUGUCGUCAGCUCGUGCCG